This 544-nucleotide ribosomal RNA is filed under the name uncultured fungus. RNAcentral's name for it is "eukaryotic LSU rRNA". The stretch from base 166 to 319 matches the Rfam family "5.8S ribosomal RNA". Lineage: Eukaryota; Fungi. The record is from RNAcentral.
GAUCAUUACAAGUUGACCCCGGCCCUCGGGCCGGGAUGUUCACAACCCUUUGUUGUCCGACUCUGUUGCCUCCGGGGCGACCCUGCCUCCGGGCGGGGGCCCCGGGUGGACAUUUCAAACUCUUGCGUAACUUUGCAGUCUGAGUAAAUUUAAUUAAUAAAUUAAAACUUUCAACAACGGAUCUCUUGGUUCUGGCAUCGAUGAAGAACGCAGCGAAAUGCGAUAAGUAAUGUGAAUUGCAGAAUUCAGUGAAUCAUCGAAUCUUUGAACGCACAUUGCGCCCCCUGGUAUUCCGGGGGGCAUGCCUGUUCGAGCGUCAUUUCACCACUCAAGCCUCGCUUGGUAUUGGGCGACGCGGUCCGCCGCGCGCCUCAAAUCGACCGGCUGGGUCUUUCGUCCCCUCAGCGUUGUGGAAACUAUUCGCUAAAGGGUGCCGCGGGAGGCCACGCCGUAAAACAACCCCAUUUCUAAGGUUGACCUCGAAAUCGAGGUAGGGAUACCCGCUGAACUUAAGCAUAUCAAUAAGCGGAGGAAAGGGCGAAUU